Molecule: long non-coding RNA, 891 nt
Organism: Hemiscyllium ocellatum (epaulette shark)
Lineage: Eukaryota; Metazoa; Chordata; Chondrichthyes; Orectolobiformes; Hemiscylliidae
Exons: 3
Source: RefSeq, a predicted model, not a curated record
UACUGGCAAAGCCAAGGGCAGUUCUGUUGGAUACUAGCUGGACAAGUGGCUGAACAGGAUCGUUCACGAACAAGCUUCUAAGGUUUGAAGGUAAAGUGGGGAUACAGUCACUUGAUAAGAAAUCAUCUUUAACCAAUCGUCACAUUUUCAGUUCAUCCGUAAUCAUGUCACUCCAUGGACAAGAGUUUUGGACAUUGUUUGAUCUGCAAAUCAAAAGCCUAAGUUGCAUUCUCUGCUCACUGCCUGGCGAUCGUUCUUCACUUCAGACAUAACAAGGCUCAAAAUUUGGAAUCAUUCCCAUGGCCCCUGCAUUACCGUCUGCUACACUGAUGGAUGAGAAACACAUGCAUCUGGAAGUUCAGGACAAACUUCAAUCACUAGUGGAUGUGGGCCAACACUCACUGUGUAGUUUCUAGCCAUUGUUCCAUCAUGAUGUAGUAAAGUUGUAGGAAUGUCAAUUGUUUGUCUUCCAUGAAAUAUUGUAUGGUUGAGAGCCAUGAAAAUGCCUUUCCACAUCAGGUUUCUAUGCAGGUCAUGAGUGAGGCUUCGUACCAGUGCUGUCCCUACAAUGAUCACCACUUGGUCCCCAGCAUUUCUGCUCCAGACAACUUGAAGAUAGAUCAAGAAUACAGGAUGGAUGAUGGAGAUCAGCAACAGCUGCAGUAUUAUGAGGAGUAAGAACGUGAGGAUAUCCUUCAUACAGAGCAAUAUCUUCAGCACAGGUACAUUGGCCAGCAUAAUAGAGGCACAACCUCUUUGUAAACCUUGUGCAAUGGAUCUGAUUUACUGUAAGACAUCUUUCAAUGAUUGUAAAUGUUUUGAUGCUGCUGAGACCAACAUCCCCUGUGUAAUUCCAACUACAAGUUCAUGCUCUGCCGUUCCUGUUGUAUA